CCCUUAGAUGUUCGGGGCCGCACGCGCGCUACACUGAAUGAAUCAGCGAGUGUAUGUCCUAGGCCGAAAGGUCCGGGUAACCCGUUGAACCUCAUUCGUGAUUGGGAUAGGGACUUGCAAUUGUUUCCCUUGAACGAGGAAUUCCCAGUAAGCGCAAGUCAUCAGCUUGCGUUGAUUACGUCCCUGCCCUUUGUACACACCGCCCGUCGCUACUACUGAUUGGGUGUUCAAGUGAGAUGCUUAGACCCUUGUUGCAUGGUUCAUUAUUGUGCUCCGAAAGGAAAAAGUUUCAAGCUUGAGUGUCUAGAGGAAGUAAAAGUCGUAACA
RNAcentral lists this ribosomal RNA (327 nucleotides) under uncultured eukaryote. RNAcentral's name for it is "partial 18S ribosomal RNA". It matches the Rfam family "Eukaryotic small subunit ribosomal RNA", at positions 1470 to 1796 of the family's 1831-position model. The record is from RNAcentral.